UACGUAGGUGGCAAGCGUUGUCCGGAUUUACUGGGCGUAAAGCGUAUGCAGGCGGGCCCUUAAGUAGGAAGUGAAAGGUUGGAGCUCAACUCUAACACUGCUCCCUAUACUGAGGGUCUUGAGUGCCGGAGAGGAAGAGGGAACGACACGUGUAGCGGUGAAAUGCGUUGAGAUGUGUCGAAACACCUAUGGCGAAAGCACUCUUCUGGACGGAAACUGACGCUGAGAUACGAAAGCCAAGGUAGCAAACAGG
RNAcentral lists this ribosomal RNA (253 nucleotides) under uncultured bacterium. Its description in RNAcentral is "partial 16S ribosomal RNA". It matches the Rfam family "Bacterial small subunit ribosomal RNA", at positions 524 to 776 of the family's 1533-position model. The record is from RNAcentral.